RNAcentral lists this ribosomal RNA (20 nucleotides) under Misgurnus anguillicaudatus (oriental weatherfish). The record is from RNAcentral. Lineage: Eukaryota; Metazoa; Chordata; Actinopteri; Cypriniformes; Cobitidae.
GCUUACGGCCCAUACCAGCC